Molecule: ribosomal RNA, 272 nt
Filed under: uncultured soil bacterium
Lineage: Bacteria
Description: partial 16S ribosomal RNA
Rfam family: Bacterial small subunit ribosomal RNA
Source: RNAcentral
AGAAUCAACGCUGGCGGCGUGCCUAACACAUGCAAGUCGAACGCGAAAGUCCCGAAAGGGAUAAGUAGAGUGGCAAACGGGUGAGUAACACGUGGGUGACCUGCCUUCAAGUGGGGGAUAACGUCCCGAAAGGGACGCUAAUACCGCAUAACAUGCUGUCUUUUAACAGGCGGACAUCAAAGCUGGGGAUCGCAAGACCUAGCGCUAGAAGAGGGGCCCGCGCCUGAUUAGCUAGUUGGUGGGGUAAUGGCUCACCAAGGCGACGAUCAGUA